AAAUGCGAUAAUUAAUGUGAAUUGCAGAAUUCAGUGAAUCAUCGAGUCUUUGAACGCACAUUGCGCCCCCUGGUAUUCCGGGGGGCAUGCCUGUCCGAGCGUCAUUGCUGCCCUCAAGCACGGCUUGUGUGUUGGGCUUCCGUCCCUGGCAACGGGGACGGGCCCAAAAGGCAGUGGCGGCACCAUGUCUGGUCCUCGAGCGUAUGGGGCUUUGUCACCCGCUCCCGUAGGUCCAGCUGGCAGCUAGCCUCGCAACCAAUCUUUUUAACCAGGUUGACCUCGGAUCAGGUUGGGAUACCCGCUGAACUUAAGC
RNAcentral lists this unclassified non-coding RNA (313 nucleotides) under plant metagenome. RNAcentral's name for it is "partial contains 5.8S ribosomal RNA, internal transcribed spacer 2, and large subunit ribosomal RNA". The stretch from base 1 to 104 matches the Rfam family "5.8S ribosomal RNA", at positions 51 to 154 of the family's 154-position model. The record is from RNAcentral.